GAGCGAUCGCGGUGGGCUUGGGCUGGUGACGCGUGCGCCGGCCGGCCGCCGAGGGGCUACCGUUCUGCCUCCGACCGAAAUACUAGGCUUUAGAAUUUCACCAUAUGAAUUUUGGGAGAGAGGAGCACAGUUCAGCCCAUAACUAACACACGACGGAAUGAAGUUGAUAAUAGUGAGACCUUGUUGGUACAAGACUAUGUAACAUAACCUGCGCUUCUCAACAAAGAAUUGCUUUUCUGACUUCUGCACUCAAUAGCAAGACAAAUCUCUCCUCUGCCUUCUCCUUAUCAGACUACUCAACAUGAAGGCAAUAAGAAUGAAGACCUCUAUGUAUAAUAAUUGACUUCCACUUAAUAAAUAGGCUGUUGAUUGCUGGCAGCAAAGAAGUCCAACUGUGCUGGUACCCGAGAUAGCGUCUCCACAUUUUCUUCCAGGAUCAUCACCUUUGUUCUAAAUAGCUCCCACAUAGUGUGAACAGAAGUCAUAUGUUUUAGAUUUUCUGCCUUGGCACCCAGGAAACCAGUAUGAUUGAGUAAACAUAUUAAACUUCCUCUGCAUUUCCAGCCUGAACAGAUGUUGAGUACAAGCUGAUCCACCUACGUUCAACCUGAGAGAGUCCACAUCCACAGACUGUUUCAUUUCCCUUUUUCAAUUUACAUAGAAGCAUAGAUUCUUGCUGGCAUAUACAAAUGCGCCAUUUAAGGCAAUCAAAAAUGGUUCCACAUCUCAUCUGAUUUCCACAAUUGUUGCUGUAACGAUGGACUACUGAGGAGAGAGACAAUUUCUCUGGCACAUCUUCCCACAUUUUAGCAACAUGUUCAUGGAGAGCCAAUAUUCAGUAAUUACAGCCCAAUUCCUCACAAUUUCACAAUUCGCUAACAAUAUGCAUUUUCACAAUGUAAAGCUGAUUUUCCUUUAACCAAAUCAAACAUGAAAAGAUAGCUGCAUGCAAUGGGCAAUCUAGAUCAUUAGAAGAUUGAUGUAAAAUUAGAGGACACUGAGACUGGAAUAGAUUGCAAACUUCAGGGAGCUCAGAAAACUUGUAAACUCUACAUUUUGAGGAAAUAUGUUGUCGAUGCUUUUGCAACUCUAUGCAGUAACUUAACAAAUAAAGCCUUAAAGUAAC
RNAcentral lists this long non-coding RNA (1126 nucleotides) under Homo sapiens (human). Its description in RNAcentral is "MIR663A host gene". Lineage: Eukaryota; Metazoa; Chordata; Mammalia; Primates; Hominidae. The record is from RNAcentral.